RNAcentral lists this ribosomal RNA (175 nucleotides) under Amanita sp. 'cruentilemurum'. RNAcentral describes it as "partial 28S ribosomal RNA". It matches the Rfam family "Eukaryotic large subunit ribosomal RNA", at positions 1 to 172 of the family's 3401-position model. Lineage: Eukaryota; Fungi; Basidiomycota; Agaricomycetes; Agaricales; Amanitaceae. The record is from RNAcentral.
UUGACCUCAAAUCAGGUAGGACUACCCGCUGAACUUAAGCAUAUCAAUAAGCGGAGGAAAAGAAACUAACAAGGAUUCCCUUAGUAACUGCGAGUGAAGAGGGAAAAGCUCAAAUUUAAAAUCUGGCAGUGUCUCACUGUCCGAGUUGUAACCUAGAGAAGUGUAACCUGCGCUG